GACGAACGCUGGCGGCGUGCUUAACACAUGCAAGUCGAACGGAAAGGCUUUGCUUUUGCGGUGUGCUCGAGUGGCGAACGGGUGAGUAACACGCUAGUAACCUGCCCUCGACUCUGGGAUAACUUUAGGAAACUGGGGUUAACACCGGAUAGGAGCUCCUGCUGCAUGGUGGGCGCCGGAAAGAGUCGGCGGCCGGGGAUGGACUUGCGGCUUAUCUGCCUGUUGGUGGGGUAGUGGCUUACCAAGGCUUUGACGGGUAGCCGGCCUGGGAGGGCUGCCGGCCACAUUAGGACUGGGCUACGGCACAGACUACUACGGGAGGCAAGAGUGCAGAAUGUUGCACAAUGGGAGGAGGCCUGAUGUAGCCACGCAGCGUGGGGGAUGACGGGCUUCGGGUUGGAAACCACUUUCGCCUGUGACGAAGCGUGAGUGACGGUAAUGGGUAAAGAAGCACCGGCUAACUACGUG
Molecule: ribosomal RNA, 468 nt
Filed under: uncultured bacterium
Lineage: Bacteria
Description: partial 16S ribosomal RNA
Rfam family: Bacterial small subunit ribosomal RNA
Source: RNAcentral